UACAGAGGUGGCAAGCGUUGUUCGGAAUUACUGGGCGUAAAGGGCGCGUAGGCGGUCCGAUAAGUCCCGUGUGAAAUCCCUCGGCUCAACUGAGGAACUGCACGGGAAACUGACGGGCUUGAGUUCGGGAGAGGGAAGCGGAAUUCCGGGUGUAGCGGUGAAAUGCGUAGAUAUCCGGAGGAACACCGGUGGCGAAGGCGGCUUCCUGGACCGACACUGACGCUGAGGCGCGAAAGCUAGGGGAGCAAACGGG
Molecule: ribosomal RNA, 253 nt
Filed under: uncultured bacterium
Lineage: Bacteria
Description: partial 16S ribosomal RNA
Rfam family: Bacterial small subunit ribosomal RNA
Source: RNAcentral